GAAGCUUCCCCAGGCAGGACAGGCGACCCUAGGGGUGCUUCUGCCCCCACUCGCUGCGGCCAGCGGGGGCGCUCCCCUGGCCGCGCCGAGCCCUGGGGGCGCGGGUGGGUGGGAGCCUGCAAACGGCCGCCGACACUGCCCUCCCUGCCAGGUCCGACCGUCCAGGCUCCACAGAGGAGUGCUCAAGGGACUCGAUGCGCUGCGGCACUGAGGACUGACGAGCCACACCGGCUGGGAGUCCCAGGAGAGCAGGACCUCCGCUCAAGGUUUGUUUUCCCCACCGACCGGGGAGGAGCAGAAAGCGCAGGCGCAGAGGAGGCUUUCCUGGGGCUCACACGCCCAGUCCCUCCGCGUCCGCAGCCUUCGCCAGUCCCCGGCGCCUGCGCGCUGCUCCGCGGGGUUUGAGCCCCGGGCGCUGGGCUUCUUACCGGAAGUGCUUGAGCAGGUUCUGAGGUGCCAGGAGCUCGAAGAUCGGCCUUGGCUUCCCACUAGACACCCGGGAUCCGGAAUCCAGAGGCGAUCCGCGUCAGUGUCAGGCUUCCUUUGCCCUUCUUUGACCUAGACGUAGCUUACUCCGCCCCCCAGCCUCCUGCAUCCACCGAGCAGCCACCGUGCCUCGGCGUGACACAGCCGCCUGCCUCGGCGUGACACAGCCGCCUGCCUCGGACACUUCCGCCUGCUCCGGACACUUCCGCUCGCUGAGCAGCUAACCCGGCCUGCUGCCCGCGCUGCUGUACUCUGGGAGAACCUCAUUUUUUACUUCAGACUGGUUUCGCAACUCACCUGUCACCCCUAUUGGUUUUGCAACUCGUCUCUCACUCCCGGCCGCAACGAAAAUGCUCCCAACCCAUCACAGAGCUUCAGGUCCUCCCUGCUGACUGACCAUUCCCAACGGCUCUGCCUUUCUCCCUAGUUGCCUUAGUUCUGCUUUUCUAAGAGUGAAGACAAGAACAGCUGCCUCCCUUGUUCAAAAACAAAUCUAACUAAUCUGGAGAAAUAAAUGCCACUCGUGAUGCUUA
Long non-coding RNA from Manis javanica (Malayan pangolin), 1019 nucleotides. RefSeq lists it as uncharacterized. Lineage: Eukaryota; Metazoa; Chordata; Mammalia; Pholidota; Manidae. The record is from RefSeq and is a predicted model, not a curated record.